AUACCGCAUUACAUCCCGCCCUUGAAGAGGUGGAUCUCCAAAGACCAGAGAGCGCAAGACCUGGCGCUCGGAGAGGGGCCCGCGUCCGAUUAGCUAGUUGGUGGGGUAACGGCCCACCAAGGCGACGAUCGGUAGCCGGCCUGAGAGGGCGGACGGCCACACUGGGACUGAGACACGGCCCAGACUCCUACGG
RNAcentral lists this ribosomal RNA (193 nucleotides) under uncultured Acidobacteriota bacterium. Its description in RNAcentral is "uncultured Acidobacteria bacterium partial 16S ribosomal RNA". It matches the Rfam family "Bacterial small subunit ribosomal RNA", at positions 166 to 344 of the family's 1533-position model. Lineage: Bacteria; Pseudomonadati; Acidobacteriota. The record is from RNAcentral.